CGUUGAGUGACAUAAUCUUGGCAAAACUAUCAUUGUUACGACUUGCGUUUAUCAUUUCUUAACUAUCAUAUGUUAAACUAUCCCGCACAUGCAGGUAAACGUCUACUGAAUGAAAAUCAAGCAGUAGAGGCAACUCUCAUCAGACCAGUUGCAGUGGACACGAGAUGGAACAGUUAUUACAUGAUCUUCCAGGCCUUUCAGAAUAAAAAAUAUGCAAUAACAAUCACCGCUCAAAAUGCAGAGUUAUCGUUGUCUGCAUCUCAACAGAUGACUCCUCACGAUUGGGAUCUUCUGACCAAAGCUAUUGCGGUACUGAAGCCAUUCUACAUCACCACAAAAGCGGCGGAGGGGGACAGGGUUUCUGUUUCGGAGGUUAUCCCAAAUAUAAAGAAACUGGAUUACGCUAUCAGGAGCAUAUCCUCAAGUGGAGUCGGAACUCUGAAACCCACGCUGCUUUCCGAAAUGUAAAACCAAGAGACUGAAGAAAUCCAAAGAUAGUGCAGCGAUCUAAAGAGAAUGAGUUAGAAGACCUUCGGAAUCUGAAAGUGGAGUCGCUCUACCUUGACGGGAGAAAAGAUGCAGCAUUGUGAUGAGCUUAGGAUCGACAUUAGACAACUCGCCACUAAGAUCUUGUGGCUGUUACGCCACUAACGUCAACACCGGACGUCACAAUGGGAUUAUAGCCCUCUUAGAGAAAAAUUUUGGAUGGGAAUUGCA
Molecule: long non-coding RNA, 717 nt
Organism: Bolinopsis microptera
Lineage: Eukaryota; Metazoa; Ctenophora; Tentaculata; Lobata; Bolinopsidae
Exons: 3
Source: RefSeq, a predicted model, not a curated record